Molecule: long non-coding RNA, 207 nt
Filed under: Lathyrus oleraceus (garden pea)
Lineage: Eukaryota; Viridiplantae; Streptophyta; Magnoliopsida; Fabales; Fabaceae
Description: Pisum sativum (pea) long non-coding RNA (PSAT_LNC008109)
Source: RNAcentral
GCCGUUGGAGGACUUCCGGACCUCCGAUUCCAAUUCCGUAAGAAGCUACGUUUUCGGAAAAUCACUACCCAUCCAAUUACAGAUUCAAUUUCAGUUUUAACACAACUUAUCCAACACAAUUUUUCAGCAUUCAACAUCCCAAUUAGGGUCAAAUCAACGGUUCAUCACUACCCAUUACAUGUUAACCCAUAAUACCCAUUAAACGAC